RNAcentral lists this small nucleolar RNA (202 nucleotides) under Lachancea fermentati. RNAcentral's name for it is "Small nucleolar RNA snR31". It matches the Rfam family "Small nucleolar RNA snR31". The record is from Rfam by way of RNAcentral. Lineage: Eukaryota; Fungi; Ascomycota; Saccharomycetes; Saccharomycetales; Saccharomycetaceae.
UAUCAAAAAAACAACCAUGAGUUCCACCGGCGUCACUGAGGCGUAUACCUUGCUCCAGUUUGAUGCUUAGUUUAAGGUGGAUAUUUUACGACUCGUGGAAGAUUAACGGUUUAAGAUGUAUCUCCAGCUAUUGAACGAGCGAAAGCCUUUUUCUUUCUCUCACCGAAGUUUGAUAUAGUUGGUCAUGAUUCUUGCAACAUGA